ACCCAGCCCGGAUGAAGACUUCUCCACCCAGCCACCCCACUCCCUUAGUCUUCCCAGGUUACAGACUCUACCCCUCCCCUCAGCGAGGCCACUUCUAGUUAUGGAUAAAAUCGCAUACUACAGUAGGUAGGGUGGAUACACAGAUAGUCCUGUACAACACCUAUACAAACUGUCUCAAUUCAUUAACAAACAAACGAACUACCGAGGGACGAGAGGUCAUGUGACCAGCUACUUCAAGUUCCUGUUGCCCAGACUUCCUUCCAUGAUCAACUGUACCUUGAACUAUGAGUAUACGUAAAUGACUCUUGAAA
Molecule: long non-coding RNA, 311 nt
Filed under: Mus caroli (Ryukyu mouse)
Lineage: Eukaryota; Metazoa; Chordata; Mammalia; Rodentia; Muridae
Description: lncRNA (MGP_CAROLIEiJ_G0004867.1)
Source: RNAcentral